This 571-nucleotide long non-coding RNA is filed under the name Coccomyxa subellipsoidea. Its description in RNAcentral is "long non-coding RNA (CSUB_LNC000272)". Lineage: Eukaryota; Viridiplantae; Chlorophyta; Trebouxiophyceae; Coccomyxaceae. The record is from RNAcentral.
GUUACUAGGAACUAGGAAUGAUGAUGUGCAGUUCGAACUGACAUUCGAGUCACAGGUAUCGUAUCACAAUAAAGCAUUCGUCAAAGCCGUGUGUCAUUCCUUGGCGGCUAAUAGUGCCCAUAGUACUGUACUUAGAGAUCAUUCUUGGAUGCAUCGGAAAACGCCUGGCGAUUAUUUUAUAUAAUCUGUCCAAAAUUGCACAACACAGGGCAGAUCUUUACCUGCAGGCCCGCCCUUUCCUUCGGAGGUGUUGCACCUACCUCUGCACCUCCAGGAGACUGGUAUGCAGUGCCAGCCUGCAGCGUAAUAUGGGGAAGAAGAAGAGCGGAGAUGAUUCUUGGGCUAUCAAUACGACAAGCCACGUUCAGGUGCUACUUUGUGGGUCCUUGGGAAGCAAGCCUGUGAGGCAUGGCAUUGACUCGACAUGCCCAUGAAUACGAUGUACCCCGGCAUAAUCACGAUAUGUGCAUAACGCAUAUCAUUGAUCCCCACAGAAGAUUUUGCCUCUGGUCCUCAGGUGCUCGGGCUGGGCACUGAUGUUGGAGAUGUGGCACCAUCAGUGCUGCUCUUC